This is a long non-coding RNA of Tigriopus californicus, 546 nucleotides long. RefSeq lists it as uncharacterized. Lineage: Eukaryota; Metazoa; Arthropoda; Copepoda; Harpacticoida; Harpacticidae. The transcript has 2 exons. The record is from RefSeq and is a predicted model, not a curated record.
CAGUUUCCGUUGGACGAUGACUGCGGAGUAGCUUUUCCAGGUUGAUCGUAAUUUUUUAUACGAACUACCUCUAAAGAACUCACCACCUCCUCUAAGCAAUAAAGUUGACCAAUAUCGUUGCUACCUUCGAGAUAAGAGCUCUAUAAUAGAAGCUCAGGGUUAAGGUUUCCAAAGCUCCCUCCGAAAAUUUCCAAAAAUGUGCAGCGAUUUCAUUUUUCUUUUUCAAAAUGAAGUGCCUGCCUGUAUGGUGCAAUAAGUUUUGGAUGAAGGCCGAGGACACAAUCGGCGAAUUAUUUUAAUUCGAAACCAAUGUAUUAUUUACCAACCACAUUAACAACUAUAAAAUUUACAACUCGGCUUUUUUGGGUUUUCCUUUCCUGUCAUACUGAUUGAGCUCACUGGAUGCAUUCUCGGCGAUGAAUUUCACGAAAUCGUCGAGUUCCCGACCUCCUUGAUAAGCCACGGCCUUCUUGGUGCUCUUGGGCAACCAGAACAGAGUAGGGAACCCACGUACAUCGAACCCACUAGGCACGUCGUUGGCGGUGG